RNAcentral lists this ribosomal RNA (253 nucleotides) under uncultured bacterium. RNAcentral describes it as "partial 16S ribosomal RNA". It matches the Rfam family "Bacterial small subunit ribosomal RNA", at positions 524 to 776 of the family's 1533-position model. The record is from RNAcentral.
UACAGAGGGUGCGAGCGUUGUCCGGAAUUACUGGGCGUAAAGGGCGCGUAGGCGGCCUGAUAAGUAGGGGGUGAAAUUCCGUGGCUCAACCACGGAACUGCCUUCUAGACUGCCAGGCUUGAGCACGGUAGAGGCAGAUGGUAUUCCCGGUGUAGCGGUGGAAUGCGUAGAGAUCGGGAAGAACACCAGUGGCGAAGGCGGUCUGCUGGGCCGUUGCUGACGCUGAUGCGCGACAGCGUGGGGAGCAAACAGG